AGGUUAAGCUAGAAAGGGCGCACGGUGGAUGCCUUGGCACUAGGAGCCGAUGAAGGACGGGGCAAACGCCGAAACGCUUCGGGGAGCUGUAAGCAAGCGUUGAUCCGGAGAUGUCCGAAUGGGGGAACCCACUGUCCGUAAUGGGGCAGUAUCCAUGCCUGAAUC
This 165-nucleotide ribosomal RNA is filed under the name Geobacillus thermopakistaniensis. RNAcentral's name for it is "Geobacillus sp. MAS1 partial 23S ribosomal RNA". It matches the Rfam family "Bacterial large subunit ribosomal RNA", at positions 1 to 164 of the family's 2925-position model. Lineage: Bacteria; Bacillati; Bacillota; Bacilli; Caryophanales; Anoxybacillaceae. The record is from RNAcentral.